Molecule: transfer RNA, 63 nt
Filed under: Chinavia ubica
Lineage: Eukaryota; Metazoa; Arthropoda; Insecta; Hemiptera; Pentatomidae
Also listed under: 1 other name
Description: tRNA-Pro
Source: RNAcentral
CAGUAAAUAGUUUAUGAAAAAUUUUAAUUUUGGGGAUUAAAGAUGAGCUUUGCUUUUUACUGA